RNAcentral lists this ribosomal RNA (343 nucleotides) under uncultured bacterium. Its description in RNAcentral is "bacterial SSU rRNA". It matches the Rfam family "Bacterial small subunit ribosomal RNA", at positions 28 to 383 of the family's 1533-position model. The record is from RNAcentral.
GACGAACGCUGGCGGUGUGCUUCACACAUGCAAGUCGAACGGGGUAGCAAUACCCAGUGGCGGACGGGUGAGUAACGCGUAGAAAUCUGCCUUGAGAUGGGGGAUAACAGUCCGAAAGGACUGCUAAUACCGCAUAUGUAUGUAUCUCGACAGAGGUGUAUAUGAAAGGAGUAAUCCGUCUUAAGAUGAGUCUGCGUCCGAUUAGCUAGUUGGUAGGGUAAAGGCCUACCAAGGCGACGAUCGGUAGCUGGUCUGAGAGGAUGAUCAGCCACAAUGGGACUGAGACACGGCCCACACUCCUACGGGAGCAGCAGUGGGGAAUUUUGUGCAAUGGGGGAAACCC